Molecule: long non-coding RNA, 230 nt
Filed under: Phoenix dactylifera (date palm)
Lineage: Eukaryota; Viridiplantae; Streptophyta; Magnoliopsida; Arecales; Arecaceae
Description: long non-coding RNA (PDAC_LNC013754)
Source: RNAcentral
AGACCCUAACCCUUACUCCUCGGACCUCAGACACAAGCCCUCCCGGUCCAACUUUUAGGAAGGCAUAGAACUCACGAACCAAGCCCGGGUAGGUCACCAAAUCUAGGGAGCAAAGAUACUCCCAUCCUUGCCUUCGGAUCCAAUCCCCCAAACGGAACCCUUCUUGAUCCAAAAAUUCGGAGUGGAUCCUUCUCCCCGUGGUAACCGGUCUCCCCACAUAUUUUGCAAGU